This 27-nucleotide non-coding RNA is filed under the name Mus musculus (house mouse). The record is from RNAcentral. Lineage: Eukaryota; Metazoa; Chordata; Mammalia; Rodentia; Muridae.
UAGCUGACCAUAUUUCUAGGCAGCCUG